UGGUGCAGGUUGUUUCACCAGCACAGAGCUGGUAGCCAUUUACAGCUGGGUGAAUUGAGACAAUGCAGAUCAAGUGUCUUGUCCAGGAACAAUGACA
This is a long non-coding RNA of Thalassophryne amazonica, 97 nucleotides long. RefSeq lists it as uncharacterized. Lineage: Eukaryota; Metazoa; Chordata; Actinopteri; Batrachoidiformes; Batrachoididae. The transcript has 3 exons. The record is from RefSeq and is a predicted model, not a curated record.